UUAAGCGACUAAGCGUACACGGUGGAUGCCCUGGCAGUCAGAGGCGAUGAAGGACGUGCUAAUCUGCGAAAAGCGUCGGUAAGGUGAUAUGAACCGUUAUAACCGGCGAUGUCCGAAUGGGGAAACCCAGUGCAAUUCGUUGCACUAUCGUUAACUGAAUACAUAGGUUAACGAGGCGAACCGGGGGAACUGAAACAUCUAAGUACCCCGAGGAAAAGAAAUCAACCGAGAUUCCCCCAGUAGCGGCGAGCGAACGGGGAGCAGCCCAGAGUCUGAAUCAGCUUGUGUGUUAGUGGAACGGUCUGGAAAGUCCGACGGUACAGGGUGAUAGUCCCGUACACCAAAAUGCACAGGCUGUGAACUCGAAGAGUAGGGCGGGACACGUGGUAUCCUGUCUGAAUAUGGGGGGACCAUCCUCCAAGGCUAAAUACUCCUGACUGACCGAUAGUGAACCAGUACCGUGAGGGAAAGGCGAAAAGAACCCCGGCGAGGGGAGUGAAAAAGAACCUGAAACCGUGUACGUACAAGCAGUGGGAGCACCUUCGGGUGUGACUGCGUACCUUUUGUAUAAUGGGUCAGCGACUUAUAUUCUGUAGCAAGGUUAACCGUAUAGGGGAGCCGCAGGGAAACCGAGUCUUAACUGGGCGUUAAGUUGCAGGGUAUAGACCCGAAACCCGGUGAUCUAGCCAUGGGCAGGUUGAAGGUUGGGUAACACUAACUGGAGGACCGAACCGACUAAUGUUGAAAAAUUAGCGGAUGACUUGUGGCUGGGGGUGAAAGGCCAAUCAAACCGGGAGAUAGCUGGUUCUCCCCGAAAGCUAUUUAGGUAGCGCCUCGUGAAUUCAUCUUCGGGGGUAGAGCACUGUUUCGGCUAGGGGGUCAUCCCGACUUACCAACCCGAUGCAAACUACGAAUACCGAAGAAUGUUAUCACGGGAGACACACGGCGGGUGCUAACGUCCGUCGUGAAGAGGGAAACAACCCAGACCGCCAGCUAAGGUCCCAAAGUCAUGGUUAAGUGGGAAACGAUGUGGGAAGGCACAGACAGCCAGGAUGUUGGCUUAGAAGCAGCCAUCAUUUAAAGAAAGCGUAAUAGCUCACUGGUCGAGUCGGCCUGCGCGGAAGAUGUAACGGGGCUAAACCAUGCACCGAAGCUGCGGCAGCGACACUAUGUGUUGUUGGGUAGGGGAGCGUUCUGUAAGCCUGCGAAGGUGUGCUGUGAGGCAUGCUGGAGGUAUCAGAAGUGCGAAUGCUGACAUAAGUAACGAUAAAGCGGGUGAAAAGCCCGCUCGCCGGAAGACCAAGGGUUCCUGUCCAACGUUAAUCGGGGCAGGGUGAGUCGACCCCUAAGGCGAGGCCGAAAGGCGUAGUCGAUGGGAAACAGGUUAAUAUUCCUGUACUUGGUGUUACUGCGAAGGGGGGACGGAGAAGGCUAUGUUAGCCGGGCGACGGUUGUCCCGGUUUAAGCAUGUAGGCUGGUUAUCCAGGCAAAUCCGGAUAAUCAAGGCUGAGGUGUGAUGACGAGGCACUACGGUGCUGAAGUAACAAAUGCCCUGCUUCCAGGAAAAGCCUCUAAGCAUCAGGUAACAUUAAAUCGUACCCCAAACCGACACAGGUGGUCAGGUAGAGAAUACCAAGGCGCUUGAGAGAACUCGGGUGAAGGAACUAGGCAAAAUGGUGCCGUAACUUCGGGAGAAGGCACGCUGGUGUGUAGGUGAAGCCCCUGCGGGUGGAGCUGAGACCAGUCGAAGAUACCAGCUGGCUGCAACUGUUUAUUAAAAACACAGCACUGUGCAAACACGAAAGUGGACGUAUACGGUGUGACGCCUGCCCGGUGCCGGAAGGUUAAUUGAUGGGGUUAUCCGUAAGGAGAAGCUCUUGAUCGAAGCCCCGGUAAACGGCGGCCGUAACUAUAACGGUCCUAAGGUAGCGAAAUUCCUUGUCGGGUAAGUUCCGACCUGCAC
RNAcentral lists this ribosomal RNA (1963 nucleotides) under Klebsiella pneumoniae. RNAcentral's name for it is "bacterial LSU rRNA". It matches the Rfam family "Bacterial large subunit ribosomal RNA", at positions 1 to 1993 of the family's 2925-position model. Lineage: Bacteria; Pseudomonadati; Pseudomonadota; Gammaproteobacteria; Enterobacterales; Enterobacteriaceae. The record is from RNAcentral.